CAGCAGCCACGGUAAUACGGAGGGAGCUAGCGUUGUUCGGAAUUACUGGGCGUAAAGCGCACGUAGGCGGUUAUUCAAGUCAGAGGUGAAAGCCCGGGGCUCAACCCCGGAACUGCCUUUGAAACUAGAUGACUGGAAUCUUGGAGAGGUCAGUGGAAUUCCGAGUGUAGAGGUGAAAUUCGUAGAUAUUCGGAAGAACACCAGUGGCGAAGGCGACUGACUGGACAAGUAUUGACGCUGAGGUGCGAAAGCGUGGGGAGCAAACAGGAUUAGAUACCCGGGUAGUCCCUGUCUCUUAUAC
This 301-nucleotide ribosomal RNA is filed under the name uncultured bacterium. RNAcentral's name for it is "partial 16S ribosomal RNA". It matches the Rfam family "Bacterial small subunit ribosomal RNA", at positions 509 to 807 of the family's 1533-position model. The record is from RNAcentral.